RNAcentral lists this ribosomal RNA (502 nucleotides) under uncultured Glomus. RNAcentral describes it as "SSU rRNA". It matches the Rfam family "Eukaryotic small subunit ribosomal RNA", at positions 569 to 1074 of the family's 1831-position model. The record is from RNAcentral. Lineage: Eukaryota; Fungi; Glomeromycota; Glomeromycetes; Glomerales; Glomeraceae.
AGCAGCCGCGGUAAUUCCAGCUCCAAUAGCGUAUAUUAAAGUUGUUGCAGUUAAAAAGCUCGUAGUUGAAUUUCGGGAUCAAUAUGUCGAUCGUGCCUUCGGUACGUACUGGCAUCAUUGAUUUCUCCCUUCUGACGAACCAUGAUGUCAUUAAUUUGGUGUCGUGGGGAGUCAGGACUGUUACUUUGAAAAAUUAGAGUGUUUAAAGCAGGCUCACGCUUGAAUACAUUAGCAUGGAAUAAUGAAAUAGGACGUUUGACCCUAUUUUGUUGGUUUCUAGGAUCAACGUAAUGAUUAAUAGGGAUAGUUGGGGGCAUUAGCAUUCAAUUGUCAGAGGUGAAAUUCUUGGAUUUAUUGAAGACUAACUACUGCGAAAGCAUUUGCCAAGGAUGUUUUCAUUAAUCAAGAACGAAAGUUAGGGGAUCGAAGACGAUCAGAUACCGUCGUAGUCUUAACCAUAAACUAUGCCGACUAGGGAUCGGAUGAUGUUAAUUUUUAAUGA